AAAUGUGGGAGGAAAGCCCAAAGUGAUGCAGGUCUCAGACGUUUACCACUUCGGUGCAUGAUAAAGAGAAGACAAGUACCUGAAAACCUCAUAAUUCAUCCCUAAGGUGUUAAUUAGAUAAAACAAACUUCGAGCUAAAGGUGUUACAGAAGGGAGAAAGAGAUUCUGCACAUUGAUCUGGAUCAGGCUUCUACUGUGUCAUCAUGAUUCAUUAUCCCGGACUUGCUUAUGCAGAAAGAAAUCUUUUGUUUCCUAAUUCUGUUUGUACACAGGGAAGAUGAGCAAGAGUGACUGCUGACCAUUCGAUCCCAUAAGUUGCCUCUUACAUACAACCAGCAUAGGUUGUUUGGGACGAAUGCUAACCCCGGAAUCCCCACGGAGCUUAUCACAUGUAUCAUUCUAUAUAUUUUAUAACAAUCAACUGGCAGUAUCAAAGAAAAGAUAAGUGUCACGCCCUACUUCUAUCCAGCUGUUACUGACGAUGCAAAACGGGGCUCAACAGGCAAGUUUCCUAUUAAUCAACUAGAUUUUUCAAUAGA
Molecule: long non-coding RNA, 539 nt
Organism: Haliotis rufescens (red abalone)
Lineage: Eukaryota; Metazoa; Mollusca; Gastropoda; Lepetellida; Haliotidae
Exons: 3
Source: RefSeq, a predicted model, not a curated record